AGUGAACGCUGGCGGCAGGCCUAAUACAUGCAAGUCGAACGGCAGCACAGCAGAGCUUGCUCUGUGGGUGGCGAGUGGCGGACGGGUGAGGAAUACAUGGGAAUCUGCCCAGUCGUGGGGGAUAACGUAGGGAAACUUACGCUAAUACCGCAUACGACCUACGGGUGAAAGUGGGGGACCGCAAGGCCUCACGCGAUUAG
Molecule: ribosomal RNA, 200 nt
Filed under: uncultured bacterium
Lineage: Bacteria
Description: partial 16S ribosomal RNA
Rfam family: Bacterial small subunit ribosomal RNA
Source: RNAcentral